UAUUAAGCGGAGGAAAAGAAACUAACCAGGAUUCCCUCAGUAGCUGCGAGCGAACAGGGAAGAGCCCAGCACCGAAUCCCGCGGCCGGCAUCGGACGCCGGGAAAUGUGGUGUUAGGGAGGAUCCAUUAUACCGAGGUUUUGCGACGCGUCCAAGUCCUUCUUGAACGGGGCCAUUACCCAUAGAGGGUGCCAGGCCCGUAGUGACCGUCGCUGGCCGCGGUAGGAUCUCUCCUCAGAGUCGGGUUGCUUGAGAGUGCAGCCCUAAGUGGGUGGUAAACUCCAUCUAAGGCUAAAUAUGACCACGAGACCGAUAGCGAACAAGUACCGUGAGGGAAAGUUGAAAAGCACUUUGAAGAGAGAGUUCAAGAGUACGUGAAACCGUUCAGGGGUAAACCUGAGAAACCCGAAAGGUCGGCGGGGAAAUUCAUGCGUGUCUCCGUUGUCGGUGCGGAGCGGUGGCGCGACGCUCGCUUUUCGGAGCGAGCGCGCCCUCCGUUUUGCAGUUACGACUCGGAACGCGUGCACUUUUCCCCUGUCGGACGUCGCGAUCCGUUGGGUGUCGGUCUAAGGCCCGCGGCGGAGACCAGCCGGUCGUCCUUGUGGCGAUCGACGGGACCCGUGGUGCAUCCCGACCGACCCGCUCGACGGUGUAAAUGUGGCGCAGAGCGCGAUUCGUUUCGCGUUCGGCCCGCGGCAAGCGCGGACGAUGCGUCGGCGAUCGGACCUGGUGCCGAUUCCGACCCCGCCCGACUGUUGGCCGCGGCGUUCUCGAACAGUCUCUGAUUUCACACGCCGAUCGGCGACGCUAUAGCUUUGGGUACUUUCAGGACCCGUCUUGAAACACGGACCAAGGAGUCUAGCAUGUGCGCGAGUCAUUGGGACAACACUAAACCUAAAGGCGCAAUGAAAGUGAAGGUCAGCCUAGCGCUGACCGAGGGAGGAUGGGCGUACCUCUAGUGGUCGCUCCGCACUCCCGGGGCGUCUCGUUCUCAUCGCGAGAAGAGGCGCACCAAGAGCGUACACGCUGGGACCCGAAAGAUGGUGAACUAUGCCUGGUCAGGACGAAGUCAGGGGAAACCCUGAUGGAGGUCCGUAGCGAUUCUGACGUGCAAAUCGAUCGUCGGAACUGGGUAUAGGGGCGAAAGACUAAUCGAACCAUCUAGUAGCUGGUUCCCUCCGAAGUUUCCCUCAGGAUAGCUGGCGCUCGUGUAUCACGAGUCUCAUCCGGUAAAGCGAAUGAUUAGAGGCAUUGGGGUCGAAACGACCUCAACCUAUUCUCAAACUUUAAAUGGGUGAGAUCUCCGGCUUGCUCGAACUUGAAGCCGCGAGACCACGGAUCAGAGUGCCAAGUGGGCCAUUUUUGGUAAGCAG
This 1372-nucleotide ribosomal RNA is filed under the name Macrostola straminea. RNAcentral describes it as "eukaryotic LSU rRNA". It matches the Rfam family "Eukaryotic large subunit ribosomal RNA", at positions 44 to 1147 of the family's 3401-position model. The record is from RNAcentral. Lineage: Eukaryota; Metazoa; Arthropoda; Insecta; Coleoptera; Nitidulidae.